This is an RNA transcript of Gadus morhua (Atlantic cod), 3469 nucleotides long. It is a transcript of the gene named sodium- and chloride-dependent GABA transporter 2, with no coding region annotated. The record is from RefSeq and is a predicted model, not a curated record. The transcript is spliced from 16 exons. Lineage: Eukaryota; Metazoa; Chordata; Actinopteri; Gadiformes; Gadidae.
UGAGAGUUGGAGUUGAGGCUUAUGAGUUAAAGGGUUAGUUAUACUUCAUGUAUUUCUGUGCAUGACGUCUGCGCUUGUUGGAUUCUCCAUGGAGCACCGGGAGGAAUACUGAUCACUUUGUUGUUGCUGCAAACAUCUCCUCUGGGGAAAAGCUUUGUGAUGGAGGUAGAUGUCCCCCAGAGGAUCAACCAUAAAGCGGCUCACCAGGAGAAGGUGAAGAACAGCAAGCUGCUGCUGGAGCGGGGCCAGUGGGCCAACAAGCUGGAGUUCCUGCUGGCCGUGGCCGGAACCAUGGUGGGGCUGGGGAACCUGUGGCGGUUCCCCUACUUAUGUUACAAAAACGGAGGAGGUGCCUUUCUGGUUCCCUAUGUGUUGUUUCUGGUCUCCUGUGGUAUCCCCAUGUUUCUGCUGGAGACCGCCAUGGGGCAGUACACGUCCCAGGGAUGCAUUACCUGCUGGAGGUCCUUCUGCCCGUUGUUUGAAGGGAUAGGCUACGCCACACAGGUGGUGAUCGCCUACGCGGCCGUCUCCUACAUCGUGAUCCAGGCCUGGGCCUUCUUCUACCUGUUCUCCUCCUUCAGCAGCGAGGUGCCCUGGGCAUCCUGCCACAACGCCUGGAACACAGAUUCAUGCGUGGAAUUCGAUAAGAGAAAUUCUUCAUUCAACUGGACUGCAUCUUCAAAUGAAACUUCGCCUGCAACAGAGUUCUGGGAGAGACGGGUGUUGAAGAUAUCUGGAGGGAUCGAGGAGAUUGGCAGCCUGCGCUGGGAGCUGGUUCUGUGUCUGAUCUUAGCUUGGGUGCUGUGCUACUUCUGUGUCUGGAAGGGAGUCAAGUCUACUGGAAAGGUGGUGUACUUCACGGCCACCUUCCCCUACCUGAUGCUGGUGGUGCUGCUGGUCCGGGGGCUGACGCUGCCGGGGGCCAUCAACGGGAUCAAGUUCUACCUCUACCCGGACCCUACCAGGUUGGUGGACCCUCAAGUGUGGAUGGACGCCGGGGCCCAGGUGCUCUUCUCCUUCGCCAUCUGCCAGGGGAGCCUGACCGCCCUGGGGAGCUACAACCAGUUCAACAACGACGUCUACAAGGACACCUUCAUCCUGUGUCUGGUGAACGGCGGCUCCAGUUUCCUGGCUGGUUUCGCCAUCUUCUCAGUGCUGGGCUUCAUGUCCUACGAGCAGGGCGUGGCCAUCUCUGAAGUGGCCGCGACCGGACCCGGCCUGGCGUUCAUCGCCUACCCCCGGGCCGUGGCCAUGAUGCCCUUACCCCAGCUGUGGUCUGUCUGCUUCUUUGUCAUGGUGAUUCUGCUCGGGGCCGACACACAGUUUGUGAGCCUGGAGUGCCUGAUGACUUCGGUCACAGACAUGUUCCCAAACGUGUUCAGGAGGGGCUACCGACGAGAGCUGCUCCUCUUCUUCAUCUGCACCGUCUGCCUCCUGCUUGGACUGCUGCUGGUCACCGAGGGAGGCCUGUACUUCCUGCAGCUGUUUGAUCAUUACGUCUGUAGUGGCAACAACCUCCUCCUGCUGUCAGUCUGCCAAUCCAUAGCGAUCGGCUGGAUUUAUGGUGCUGAUAACUUCUAUGAUGACAUUGAAGACAUGAUCGGAUACCGGCCAUGGCCGGUCAUGAAGUACUGCUGGCUGUAUCUGACUCCUGCAGUCUGUCUGGGCACCUUCAUCUUCUCAGUGUUGAAGUACCAGCCCUUGAAGUUCAACAAGACCUAUGUUUAUCCUGGCUGGGCCUACGCGCUGGGCUGGAGCCUGGGCCUUUUUUGUGUGUUCCUUGUGCCACUGUGGAUGGUCUUCAAAGUGUCUACGAUGAAGGGAGACCUCAUACAGAGAAUCAAACAACUGUGCAUUCCUGAAAAUAACACCCUCAGCAAAAAGCGCACGUCGUCGGAGCAGUGCCCCCUGGACCCUGACAACCACCUGCUGCCGGCCCCCCGGGGGGAGUGCAAGGAGCAGGGCCUUGACGCAGAGGGGGACAUGCCUGUAUGACCCCGGCCGCCGUCGCUCUGGAAGCACGCCUUUAUUUUGUAGGCUAUGCAUUUUAGAAAUGUAACAAUAGUAGUCCUAUAAUAAAAGCCCUUUUUCUAUUAAAGGGAGAACGGGGUUGCCCUCGUGGGGGAUAUUUCUCAACUUAGGCUUCUGUGAAGAGGUGGCAGCAGCUCCUCAGGCUGAGAAUCAAACAACUGUGCAUUCCUGAAAAUAACACCCUCAGCAAAAAGCGCACGUCGUCGGAGCAGUGCCCCCUGGACCCUGACAACCACCUGCUGCCGGCCCCCCGGGGGGAGUGCAAGGAGCAGGGCCUUGACGCAGAGGGGGACAUGCCUGUAUGACCCCGGCCGCCGUCGCUCUGGAAGCACGCCUUUAUUUUGUAGGCUAUGCAUUUUAGAAAUGUAACAAUAGGAGUCCUAUAAUAAAAGCCCUUUUUCUAUUAAAGGGAGAACGGGGUUGCCCUCGUGGGGGAUAUUUCUCAACUUAGGCUUCUGUGAAGAGGUGGAAGCAGCUCCUCAGGCUGGUAUGUUUCGUCAGUUUUUUUUUUUUUUUUAAUCUAAACAAAGCUGUGUGAUUAUUUCUUUAUUUUUUAACUUCUGAAUCAAUACAAAUGCAAGAUUUACCUCAAUUGUAAUGGGUGAUGAUAGUUGUGUGUUGCUUAGUAGGUCAGGUAAUGAAACACACUCGGAGCUGGGUACCUGAGGAAAUAGGCAUCCCCCUUGAUGUUGAUGACUGUACCGGUUCAUUAUUAUAACGAUAGUAACGUUUCAAAGGGGGAGUUCCCGUGUUCAAAGAUGCAUGUUGGGUCCUGCGUGUGUUUGUUCCUGCGUCAGAGCAGUGCGAGAGCUGUGUGUAAGCUCUCCUUUAUGAGCUUGUUUACGUCAGUGGUAAAGGGUAGCCUAUGUCUCUCCUGGAAAAUGUAAUUACUCAUUCACUUCCUGCUAACUAGUGUUGCUUUUUUUUGUUUUGGUUGUAUGCUUGUACCUACACGUCUAACAUGCUACCUUAAUUUUGAGUUGGCAUUUUGGAAUUUAUCCAUUUGGUAGACAAUUUUAAUAAAAAAUAUAAAUUAAAGGAUGCAUCAUACAUCCUUAAUCUGAAUUGAUAAUGGGCAUCAAACACUGGAUUAAACUGUUUGUGACUUUUCUCAUGGCCAGAAGUAAGGCUUUUCGACCCUACUCAUUAAUGUCCAUUGAUGAACCCACGUUAGCUCCUACACCUUGUUAGCCCUACCGCCUCUAGCACCCACGUUUGCUAUAGUCUACACCUUGUUAGCCCCAGCAGGGCUCUCAAGUCUCACGCAUUCGGCGUGAGACCCACCCACGCAAUUCAACCCAUGCACACGCUCACACGCCCAAGAGUCUGGCUGCAGACAUCCACCCACACGCUCCAGACAUCCACCCACACGCACUUCCGCUGCAGACAUCCACGCACAGAAAUAUCCACCAGCACACCGGAAAUCUGAAAAUAAAAA